Molecule: ribosomal RNA, 320 nt
Filed under: uncultured eukaryote
Lineage: Eukaryota
Description: partial 18S ribosomal RNA
Rfam family: Eukaryotic small subunit ribosomal RNA
Source: RNAcentral
CCCUUAGACGUUCUGGGCCGCACGCGCGCUACACUGAACAGUUCAACAAGUCUUAACCUUGGCCGAUAGGUCUGGGUAAUCUUUGAACGCUGUUCGUGACUGGGAUAGACCUUUGCAAUUAUGGGUCUUCAACGAGGAAUUCCUAGUAAACGCAAGUCAUCAGCUUGCAUUGAUUACGUCCCUGCCCUUUGUACACACCGCCCGUCGCACCUACCGAUUGAAUGGUCCGGUGAAAUCUCGGGACGGCGGCUUGGUCGCUUGCGUCCGACUGCUGAAACUUGAUUAAACCAUAUCAUUUAGAGGAAGGUGAANUCGUAACA